CCGCGGUAAAACGCGUUACUCCUACGGGAGGCAGCAGUGAGGAAUUUUCCGCAAUGGGCGCAAGCCUGACGGAGCGACGCCGCGUGUGGGAAGAAGGCCUUCGGGUCGUAAACCACUGUCGAAGGGGAAGCGGUACCCUUGGAGGAAGCCCCGGCUAACUAC
This 162-nucleotide ribosomal RNA is filed under the name uncultured bacterium. Its description in RNAcentral is "partial 16S ribosomal RNA". It matches the Rfam family "Bacterial small subunit ribosomal RNA", at positions 314 to 504 of the family's 1533-position model. The record is from RNAcentral.